This 433-nucleotide ribosomal RNA is filed under the name uncultured bacterium. RNAcentral's name for it is "partial 16S ribosomal RNA". It matches the Rfam family "Bacterial small subunit ribosomal RNA", at positions 29 to 507 of the family's 1533-position model. The record is from RNAcentral.
AACGAACGCUGGCGGCAUGCCUAACACAUGCAAGUCGAACGAGACCUUCGGGUCUAGUGGCGCACGGGUGCGUAACGCGUGGGAACCUGCCCUUAGGUUCGGAAUAACUCCCCGAAAGGGGUGCUAAUACCGGAUAAUGUCUUCGGACCAAAGAUUUAUCGCCUUUGGAUGGGCCCGCGUUGGAUUAGCUAGUUGGUAGGGUAAAAGCCUACCAAGGCGACGAUCCAUAGCUGGUCUGAGAGGAUGAUCAGCCACACUGGGACUGAGACACGGCCCAGACUCCUACGGGAGGCAGCAGUGGGGAAUAUUGGACGAGGGGCGAAAGCCUGAUCCAGCAAUGCGGGGUGAGUGAUGAAGGCCUUAGGGUUGUAAAGCUCUUUUACCCGGGAUGAUAAUGACAGUACCGGGAGAAUAAGCUCCGGCUAACUCCGUG